GACAAACAGGAGUCAGCUGUCUCAACCCAGACAAGGCGGAAGUGAUGCUAGAAGAAAGGAUAGAAUAUUAUAUCUUCCCUCUCUUGAGAAGAAGGACCUACAGAUCCCGUAGUGCUACAUGCUGGCCAAGAGCACGGUAACAGUCCCUGCCCCAAAGAGCUUACAAGAUGAAUAAACAGACAAAAUCCAACCCUCAACAGCCAUGGAAAGAGCCCCGAGUAUUAAUGGCAGCUGAUCAAUAACUAAUCCGUAGCGUUCCAGUUACCAACUUGAUGGAGAAAAUUCACGGCGCUUAAGUAAUUCUAACUAAUCUUAAUGAAUGCCGCCAUGCGUACAUGCCUGCAGAGCAGUGUGAAAUUUAUAGAAAAAUGUCAUUUCGGCUCUCUGUAUUUUUUUUCCUCUC
Molecule: long non-coding RNA, 403 nt
Organism: Mauremys mutica (yellowpond turtle)
Lineage: Eukaryota; Metazoa; Chordata; Testudines; Geoemydidae
Exons: 3
Source: RefSeq, a predicted model, not a curated record